CCAGUUGGUCUUCAUCCUUCUCCAAUAAUUUCUCAAAAUUCUUCCAACAAAUUGAAAAGUUUACAGUUGCUUCAUUUCCUAACGAAGCAAGCACCAUGAAGCAAAAACUCGUGAUCAAGGUUUCGAUGAAUAACCACACCUCAGGAUUUCAUUGUUUCGGCCCCCAAAGCCCUCACUCCAAAGCUAUGAAACUCGCGGGUGGCUUCCAAGGAGUACAAUCCGUGGCACUGGUGGGUGACCGAGACCGGAUCGAGGUGACCGGAGAUGUCGACGCGGUUAACCUCACGAAUUUACUUAGGAAGAAAGUUGGGUUUGCGGAGAUAGUCACCGUGAGCAAGGCUGAUGAGAAAGACGAGAAAGAAAGCGAGAGCAGGGACAAGGCAGCACAAGCCAUCAUGUGGUCGUACGGAGUCCCGCACCGCGAAAUCGCCUAUGUCGUGGACCCAUGUUACAGCGAGCCCUCAUGCUCGAUCAUGUAGGAUCAACAAGGAUUGACGAUGAUGCCUUAUAUAAAUAUACACCAUCGAUGGUUUUUAAAAUUUUAUUACACAAACAGAUUGGAGAAAUGAAUAAGAUCGAUUGCCCAUUUUCAUUGA
Long non-coding RNA from Eucalyptus grandis, 596 nucleotides. RefSeq annotates it as heavy metal-associated isoprenylated plant protein 46. The record is from RefSeq and is a predicted model, not a curated record. NCBI's taxonomy places the organism in Eukaryota, Viridiplantae, Streptophyta, Magnoliopsida, Myrtales, Myrtaceae. The transcript is spliced from 3 exons.